UAAAAAACCCUAAUCCACGCCGCUUGUCUCUCAUGGCGAUUUCCACAACACUCUUCUUCAUCUCCAACCUCUCUGCGAUUAAACAUCUCUAGAUCGGAAUCUCGUUUCAGAAAAAAAAAAUCAACCAUCGCUGCAGCCGCGAUCGAGAAGCUCCCUCAGCUCAAAUCCGCCACCGAUGGACUUAAAGAGAUGAGUGAUAACGAGAUCAUGCUAGUUUCUUGAGAAAAAAUGGCAGAGACACUCAUCAUUACCAGCCAGACAUCACUCAUCAGGCGAGCCCACAGAUGCCACACAGAUGCCAUGGAGGGCUGAGUACGCAAAGUCCUCGAGGUCUUCCUGCAAGUCUUGCAAGUCCCCCAUUAACAAGGAGACUUUUCGUCUUGGAAAGCUUGUUCAAGCUACUCAAUUCGCUGAUGUCAUACCUGAACGAUAUUUUUGUAUUCUUGCUGAUUGGAUCCCGGGUUUCCUCUUUCAGAAAGACAGGGAGAUAUAAACUUGCAGAGCAGCGAUGCUCAAAGGUGAUCAUGAUACUUGCUGCAAGGUAAUACGAUGUUAGGCGGUCGCUUGUUUGGAAGAUCAUCUCUUCAGUCUGUUGGUCUCCAAAGACAAAGGAAGGAGUUGCUGCAAGUGCCCGACCAUUCUUGAUUCUUUCUUUCUUUUUCUAUAUACUUCUGUCCCUUCAAGAAUUGUCCUAUUGUAACCUUUUUUCAUUAGGAUAGUUUAUUUAUGUGGUUGGACUGUUGUGGUAUAUUUUCACAGCCAGAUCAAUAUGAAUCAAAAUAAAAUUCUUCU
This is a long non-coding RNA of Raphanus sativus (radish), 792 nucleotides long. RefSeq lists it as uncharacterized. The transcript is spliced from 5 exons. Lineage: Eukaryota; Viridiplantae; Streptophyta; Magnoliopsida; Brassicales; Brassicaceae. The record is from RefSeq and is a predicted model, not a curated record.